Molecule: transfer RNA, 100 nt
Filed under: Immersiella caudata
Lineage: Eukaryota; Fungi; Ascomycota; Sordariomycetes; Sordariales; Lasiosphaeriaceae
Description: Cercophora caudata tRNA
Rfam family: tRNA
About the family: Transfer RNA (tRNA) molecules are approximately 80 nucleotides in length.
Source: Rfam by way of RNAcentral
GCGGGUUUAGCUCAGUUGGGAGAGCGUCAGACUGAAGAGGUUACUUUAUUCCAUCAAAAUCGAUAUCUGAAGGUCAUGUGUUCGAUCCACAUAAACCGCA